GUUUCUAUAUUGGUUCGGCCUCAAUGCCUACAUCUAGUGUCCUUCCAGUACCAGGAAACAAAUGCAUUAUAAUGGUCAAGGUUUUUACAACAAGGCUUUUAAAGAAGACCUCCACGUCAAAAAUAUAAAACACCUCUCUAACCCUCUAGCCAAAAUAUAGGCAAUAACAACACAACAAGACUUGCAGCAAGAUGUCCCCUCUCCUACAAUCUGCAAC
This 217-nucleotide long non-coding RNA is filed under the name Vigna radiata. RNAcentral's name for it is "long non-coding RNA (VRAD_LNC002718)". The record is from RNAcentral. Lineage: Eukaryota; Viridiplantae; Streptophyta; Magnoliopsida; Fabales; Fabaceae.